GCUACGGCCAUACCAGCCUGGGUACGCCCGAUCUCGUCUGAUCUCGGAAGCUAAGCAGGGUAGGGCCUGGUUAGUACUUGGAUGGGAGACCGCCUGGGAAUACCAGGUGCUGUAAGCA
Molecule: ribosomal RNA, 118 nt
Filed under: Salmo salar (Atlantic salmon)
Lineage: Eukaryota; Metazoa; Chordata; Actinopteri; Salmoniformes; Salmonidae
Source: RNAcentral